RNAcentral lists this ribosomal RNA (478 nucleotides) under uncultured bacterium. RNAcentral's name for it is "partial 16S ribosomal RNA". It matches the Rfam family "Bacterial small subunit ribosomal RNA", at positions 28 to 523 of the family's 1533-position model. The record is from RNAcentral.
GACGAACGCUGGUGGCGUGCUUAACACAUGCAAGUCGAACGGUAAGGCCCUUCGGGGUACACGAGUGGCGAACGGGUGAGUAACACGUGGGUGAUCUGCCCUGCACUUUGGGAUAAGCCUGGGAAACUGGGUCUAAUACCGGAUAGGACCACGGCCUGCAUGGGUUGUGGUGGAAAGCUUUUGCGGUGUGGGAUGGGCCCGCGGCCUAUCAGCGUGUUGGUGGGGUGAUGGCCUACCAAGGCGACGACGGGUAGCCGGCCUGAGAGGGUGUCCGGCCACACUGGGACUGAGAUACGGCCCAGACUCCUACGGGAGGCAGCAGUGGGGAAUAUUGCACAAUGGGCGCAAGCCUGAUGCAGCGACGCCGCGUGGGGGAUGACGGCCUUCGGGUUGUAAACCUCUUUCACCAGGGACGAAGCGCAAGUGACGGUACCUGGAGAAGAAGCACCGGCCAACUACGUGCCAGCAGCCGCCGUAA